This 849-nucleotide unclassified non-coding RNA is filed under the name Hevea brasiliensis (rubber tree). The record is from RNAcentral. Lineage: Eukaryota; Viridiplantae; Streptophyta; Magnoliopsida; Malpighiales; Euphorbiaceae.
AAAAAAAAAAAAAAAAGAAAUAAACCUAGAAUACAGAAUUCUUUCAGGAGGGUUUCAAUCUCUGGUUUUACAUGACAACAAUAUAUAAUAUUCCAUAAUAACUUAUUAUUAUUCUCCCCUCCUUAAUAAAAUUUAUUACGAGUUCAUAUUCAGUAAAUAUAAGACAAUCAUGUCCUGCAACUUUCAUUUACAAAAGCAAAGAAAAGUAAAAAGAUACUCAAAGGAAAGCCUUUCCACUACUAUAAAUUGAUGUGUCAGCCAAAAAAAAAUAAUGAAGAAAAUGCAGCUCAAGACUGGGAGGAAAUUAAGAUUCUCAGCUGAAGGAGGAUUUUGCAGGCGGUGGUGAAGGAAGUUUAAAAUUUAUCAAAGUGUCAAGGAUCAUUGGAUACGCUUGUAUUGAAUUUUUAACACACAUUUCUAUAGCCCAAGUGAUGGCUAAUAUUAGAAAAAUCUUUUUCCUUCAAUGCUAAUGUAAUGAUUGUUCUGUUGCUUUUGAGAUCAUUUUGGAAUUUUUUUUUUAAUUUUUUUAUCUUACUGCCGAGGCACAUGCAUCUAGUAGUUGUUUCAACCCAAGCUCCUACUUGAUCAUAAAUGAUGUCUGAGAAGAAAUUUAUCUGGGGAAGAAUAAAUUGGUUUUCGAUAUUCUCAUAUCUCAAGUGUGUUUGUCGUUUCUUUAACCCAACAAGUCACUGGAUCAGGUGUUGAAUGACAUGAUUCAAGAUGACGGGGAUCCUCCAAAGAAGAAGCUUUACGAACUGAAGAUCUCCUUGCUUGAUGAGAUUGGAUGGAGUCAUUUGGCAACCUACGAGAGACAGUGGAUGCACGUGCGUUUUCCACCAAGCUUGCCUC